Molecule: non-coding RNA, 1101 nt
Organism: Punica granatum (pomegranate)
Lineage: Eukaryota; Viridiplantae; Streptophyta; Magnoliopsida; Myrtales; Lythraceae
Source: RefSeq, a predicted model, not a curated record
GGAGGGUGACAGGUAGCUCUUGAAUUAUUGAAAUUACCACAGUGCCCCUUCAUCUUUGGAAAGUAAACUUCUUUGACGGGUGUGGCUUGGGGACAAAAAAAAGAAAAAGAAAAACCUUCUUUGAUGGGUAGGUCACCCUUUUGUUGUAUAAUAUAGGGAAGGGAUGGAGGUAAAUAUUUUCCCGAAUACUUGGAUCGAAGCUACAUGGAGGCAGUCGCUCGUUAAACACUGAAAACUUGGUAGUUUCCGAAGUGACUGUGUAUUGCCAACUUCUCGAUGUUUCUUCUUCUUGCAAAUAAUCUUCAUGCUUGGGUUUAUUCAGUCAUGAGAGAAAAAAAAGGCGUCAAUGUGGGGAUGAGUUGAGAACAAGUAAACUGUGUAGGGACAAGACAGGAGAACUAGAAACGGGAUGACCCAUGCCAUGUUCCUCCCCAGCUUUUCCGACGACGAUCGAAUUAGACGCCCCAACUUUCACAUAUGAUUCGAGACGUCAACUCUUCGUAAGCUGACCUCUGCAAUAAUCGUGAUUUGACGAAAAAAUGAUAGCCUUUUACACCUAUUUUCUGCAGUUCGUGAAGAUAUCAAAUUACGAUGAGUAAUCGGUAAUCUCGAUUAUUUUUCCGGGGUUUUGGACAUGGUAGGUCGGAUUUGAGAAGCGGGCCAAGGUCAUUAGUGCUCGGGCAGGGUUAAUUGGAGGUUCGAAUCAUGGGAGAAAGCCCAAGGAUUGGAAGAUGGCACAUUCAAGAAGCCCAACAUGAAAAAUUUAAUGAAGAUUCAUUAUGGAGGCAUGUGUAUGGACGUCCAUCUCAUGUCCCCAAGCGGAGAAGAUUAGUUUUGGCAGCCGAGAUACUCAUGGAGAAGCAGGCGAUAUUCUCAUGAUAUUCUCUUGUUAUCUUUAAUUUUAGUAAGUCGAAUAAGUCGGAUAUUUCUCCGAUUUUAUUUGAUAUUUUAUUUUUAGACAAUUUAGAUAGCCUUAAGGGUCAAUUUCUUAUGACGAUGUUAUAUUGAUAUCUCAUAAUUAUAAUCGGAUGUAAGCGCCUAUAUAUAGGCUUAAGAUUUGUAAGGGUUUCCGACUAAUAUAUCAAUAGUACCUUUUACUUA